AGACGUCUACAUUAGAUACCCCCUGUAGUCCCAGCCGUAAACUAUGCGCGUUAGGUGUAUCGGUGACCACGAGUUACCGAGGUGCCGAAGGGAAACCGUGAAACGUGCCGCCUGGGAAGUACGGUCGCAAGGCUGAAACUUAAAGGAAUUGGCGGGGAGCACCACAACAGGUGGAGCCUGCGGUUUAAUUGGACUCAACGCCGGGAAGCUCACCGGAUAAGACAGCGGAAUGAUUGCCGGGCUGAAGACUCUGCAUGACUAGCUG
This 265-nucleotide ribosomal RNA is filed under the name uncultured archaeon. RNAcentral's name for it is "partial 16S ribosomal RNA". It matches the Rfam family "Archaeal small subunit ribosomal RNA", at positions 717 to 982 of the family's 1478-position model. The record is from RNAcentral.